Molecule: transfer RNA, 75 nt
Filed under: Richelia sp. RM2_1_2
Lineage: Bacteria; Bacillati; Cyanobacteriota; Cyanophyceae; Nostocales; Nostocaceae
Description: tRNA-Ala
Rfam family: tRNA
About the family: Transfer RNA (tRNA) molecules are approximately 80 nucleotides in length. Their secondary structure includes four short double-helical elements and three loops (D, anti-codon, and T loops). Further hydrogen bonds mediate the characteristic L-shaped molecular structure. tRNAs have two regions of fundamental functional importance: the anti-codon, which is responsible for specific mRNA codon recognition, and the 3' end, to which the tRNAs corresponding amino acid is attached (by aminoacyl-tRNA synthetases). tRNAs cope with the degeneracy of the genetic code in two manners: having more than one tRNA (with a specific anti-codon) for a particular amino acid; and 'wobble' base-pairing, i.e. permitting non-standard base-pairing at the 3rd anti-codon position.
Source: RNAcentral
GGGGACAUAGUGAUAAUGGAAGCACGAUGCACUUGCAAUGCGUAGGAUGGGGUUCGAUUCCCCAUGUCUCCACCA